GAUGAACGCUGGCGGCGUGCCUAAUACAUGCAAGUCGAGCGAACGGACGAGAGGCUUGCUUCUCUGAUGUUAGCGGCGGACGGGUGAGUAACACGUGGAUAACCUACCUUUAAGACUGGGAUAACUUCGGGAAACCGGAGCUAAUACCGGAUAAUAUUUUGAACCGCAUGGUUCAAAAGUGAAAGACGGUCUUGCUGUCACUUAUAGAUGGAUCCGCGCUGCAUUAGCUAGUUGGUAAGGUAACGGCUUACCAAGGCAACGAUGCAUAGCCGACCUGAGAGGGUGAUCGGCCACACUGGAACUGAGACACGGUCCAGACUCCUACGGGAGGCAGCAGUAGGGAAUCUUCCGCAAUGGGCGAAAGCCUGACGGAGCAACGCCGCGUGAGUGAUGAAGGUCUUCGGAUCGUAAAACUCUGUUAUUAGGGAAGAACAUAUGUGUAAGUAACUGUGCACAUCUUGACGGUACCUAAUCAGAAAGCCACGGCUAACUACGUG
Molecule: ribosomal RNA, 497 nt
Filed under: uncultured bacterium
Lineage: Bacteria
Description: partial 16S ribosomal RNA
Rfam family: Bacterial small subunit ribosomal RNA
Source: RNAcentral